Molecule: ribosomal RNA, 796 nt
Filed under: Microbacterium sp. E10
Lineage: Bacteria; Bacillati; Actinomycetota; Actinomycetes; Micrococcales; Microbacteriaceae
Description: bacterial SSU rRNA
Rfam family: Bacterial small subunit ribosomal RNA
Source: RNAcentral
AUGACAGUCGAACGGUGAACACGGAGCUUGCUCUGUGGGAUCAGUGGCGAACGGGUGAGUAACACGUGAGCAACCUGCCCCUGACUCUGGGAUAAGCGCUGGAAACGGCGUCUAAUACUGGAUACGAGUAGCGACCGCAUGGUCAGUUACUGGAAAGAUUUAUUGGUUGGGGAUGGGCUCGCGGCCUAUCAGCUUGUUGGUGAGGUAAUGGCUCACCAAGGCGUCGACGGGUAGCCGGCCUGAGAGGGUGACCGGCCACACUGGGACUGAGACACGGCCCAGACUCCUACGGGAGGCAGCAGUGGGGAAUAUUGCACAAUGGGCGCAAGCCUGAUGCAGCAACGCCGCGUGAGGGAUGACGGCCUUCGGGUUGUAAACCUCUUUUAGCAGGGAAGAAGCGAAAGUGACGGUACCUGCAGAAAAAGCGCCGGCUAACUACGUGCCAGCAGCCGCGGUAAUACGUAGGGCGCAAGCGUUAUCCGGAAUUAUUGGGCGUAAAGAGCUCGUAGGCGGUUUGUCGCGUCUGCUGUGAAAUCCGGAGGCUCAACCUCCGGCCUGCAGUGGGUACGGGCAGACUAGAGUGCGGUAGGGGAGAUUGGAAUUCCUGGUGUAGCGGUGGAAUGCGCAGAUAUCAGGAGGAACACCGAUGGCGAAGGCAGAUCUCUGGGCCGUAACUGACGCUGAGGAGCGAAAGGGUGGGGAGCAAACAGGCUUAGAUACCCUGGUAGUCCACCCCGUAAACGUUGGGAACUAGUUGUGGGGUCCAUUCCACGGAUUCCGUGACGCAGCUAACGCA